GGGUGUGGGGCUGAGCAGGCCUGGAAGAAACAAGGCUGCUGGGCUGAGCUUGGGGCCAGCCGCUCAUUUCACCAAGCUGAGCUGUAAUCACAUCCCCAGGUAGCACUGUGCCUUCAGAAUAUGACUGAGCAGCAUUAUGUCUGCAGUGCUAAGCAGGUGUGAUCAAUAGAUGGAGAGCUGUGACCAGCUGGGCUGUGAUGCGGAGCCUGCAACCAAGCUGCCUGGGGGAAAUUCAGGAGGCCAGCCAUCGUCUUUAACCAGGGCAGCCCCGAGAGUGUCUGCAAGGGCUGCAUGCCCUGAGUAGAUCCUCGCAGAUGCUGAUCAGGGUGUCUUCUGGGCUCCACCUGGCACAGAAAAGCCAGCAAAGCUCCAGGGGCUUCCCUUCUUUCCUGGCAGAGAAAGAGCAGGCAGAUUCAGAGCCCCGUGAGGCUGUCUUGAGCUCCACCGGGAUCUAGGGAGAGCCAGCAGCACCACCAAGAUAUUUACGUUGUGAACUGGUAAAAUCUGAACUGCAGAAUAUCAAUUUCCAGACAUUCUUCCUAGAUGAUGCCGUCUGCCACGGAGACCAUGUAGAUGGAUUGAAUGGGGAUAUGAUGAGGAUGACCACCCCUGCAUUUGCUAAGUUCUUGGGAGUGGCAUCGAUCUCAGCCAUUCCACUGGAAUAGGAUAAUGGACCUUAACUAGUGGGCUGAAGGCAAUGAGGGGAUGUGAGGAUGCAUCUUGUGAAGGACAAAAGUCAUCCUGUAAGGAUUCAUGAGACCUGAGCAGCCAGCCAGCCCUGAAAUGGUUGGAACAGGAGAAAGAAGAAGAGCUCGACAGAUACCCUGCCUGGGCUGGCAGCUAGCUGCACCACAAGCUGGCCAGCUGACAGCGGGCACAUCCCUUCAUCACCCAGUGCCUUUCUUCCCUCUUGUGAAAAUGGAGAUAUGCUGAGAAGGUUACUUCAGCUCAUCCAGAGAAAGCUUCUUCAGCUAACUAGGCUGUAGAAAGGGCCUACAGCCUAAAUUUUCAAAAACAAGUUAAUGCCAGAAUAUAAACUCCGUGAAGUAA
Long non-coding RNA from Homo sapiens (human), 1050 nucleotides. Ensembl annotates it as long intergenic non-protein coding RNA 539. Lineage: Eukaryota; Metazoa; Chordata; Mammalia; Primates; Hominidae. The record is from Ensembl.